RNAcentral lists this ribosomal RNA (456 nucleotides) under Indothais lacera. Its description in RNAcentral is "partial small subunit ribosomal RNA". It matches the Rfam family "Bacterial large subunit ribosomal RNA", at positions 1932 to 2604 of the family's 2925-position model. Lineage: Eukaryota; Metazoa; Mollusca; Gastropoda; Neogastropoda; Muricidae. The record is from RNAcentral.
GGCGGUACUCUGACCGUGCAAAGGUAGCAUAAUCAUUUGCCUUAUAAUUGAAGGCUAGUAUGAAUGGUUUGACGAGAAUUAAGCUGUCUCUUCUCAAUUAAAUAUAAUUUUAUUAACAGGUGAAGAAGCCUGUGUGUUAUUGAAAGACAAGAAGACCCUAUCGAGCUUUAAGGAAUUCAAUAGAUUUAUUAUAUAUUUAUAUAAAUAUAAAACUAUUGAAAACUUUGGUUGGGGCGACUGAGGAACAAAAAAAGCUUCCUUUAUAUCUUUAGAACCUACAAGUAUUGAUCCAAUAAAUUUGAUUAAAGGAAUUAGUUACCGUAGGGAUAACAGCAUAAUCUUCUUUGAGAGUUCUUAUCGAAAAGGGGGUUUGUGACCUCGAUGUUGGACCAGAAUACCCAGAAGAUGUAGCCGUCUUCAAUGGUUGGUCUGUUCGACCAUUAAAUUCUACGUGAA